Molecule: microRNA precursor, 78 nt
Filed under: Cajanus cajan (pigeon pea)
Lineage: Eukaryota; Viridiplantae; Streptophyta; Magnoliopsida; Fabales; Fabaceae
Description: miRNA gene-KK1_025788
Source: RNAcentral
UAACCGAUCUUAAAAGUGACACUUUUAAGAUCAGUUCUUUUAUAACCAUUCUUAAAAGUGCUACUUUUAAGAUCGGUU